Molecule: ribosomal RNA, 420 nt
Filed under: uncultured bacterium
Lineage: Bacteria
Description: bacterial SSU rRNA
Rfam family: Bacterial small subunit ribosomal RNA
Source: RNAcentral
UGGGGAGUAUUGGACAAUGGGGAGGACCCUGAUCCAGCGACGCCGCGUGAGUGAAGAAGUAUUUCGGUAUGUAAAGCUCUAUCAGCAGGGAAGAAAGAAAUGACGGUACCUGAGUAAGAAGCCCCGGCUAACUACGUGCCAGCAGCCGCGGUAAUACGUAGGGGGCAAGCGUUAUCCGGAAUUACUGGGUGUAAAGGGAGCGUAGACGGUAAAGCAAGUCUGGAGUGAAAGGCUGGGGCCCAACCCCGGGCACUGCUCUGGAAACUGAUUAAUACUGGAGUGCAGGAGAGGCAGGCGAAUUCCUAGUGUAGCGGUGAAAUGCGUAGAUAUUAGGAGGAACACCAGUGGCGAAGGCGGCCUGCUGGACUGUAACUGACGUUGAGGCUCGAAAGCGUGGGGAGCAAACAGGAUUAGAUACCC